Molecule: non-coding RNA, 550 nt
Organism: Nicotiana tabacum (common tobacco)
Lineage: Eukaryota; Viridiplantae; Streptophyta; Magnoliopsida; Solanales; Solanaceae
Source: RefSeq, a predicted model, not a curated record
UCUGUUGGAACUGACGGCUAAUGUGAGUUCUUUUAUAGAUGGUAAGGAAGGUUCGGCCAUGAGACGUCGAGGUCGUCCUCCUAAGAGGCAGAACUUACAAGGAAAAAAGCUGUUUAACAAGCACACUUCUAGCGAAGACGAGGAAUCAAUCUGUGGAUCUGACCAGGACGCAGAUGAAGAAAAACAAGAUGACGAAGAGGAGGUCCCUCUAAUACAAUCUAUUAAGUCAUCAUCCAAGCUAAGGUCUCUGAAGACAUCAAAGAGAGCUGAGGCCAUAUGAGAACUGGUCAUUCUGGUCUCUGUUUAGAUUGGUUCUAUUCCAAAGUAUCAGGUUCUCCAAUCUUUGAAGGUCUUUUCUCUGUCACCAUGAGCAAACAGUUUCCUUGUGAACCAUACUAGUUUGAGGAAGCUUUUGUUGAAAGUAUAGACAUUAGGUGCAGCCUUUGUGUAUUUAAUAGGUUUCUUGUCAUUCUCAUAUCCUUUUUCUCUUAUAGCUAUAUUUGCAAUAUCUUUUUGCCAAUUUCAAUACUUUUAUUGAUUUGCUAGCUUA